Molecule: ribosomal RNA, 1550 nt
Filed under: Klebsiella pneumoniae
Lineage: Bacteria; Pseudomonadati; Pseudomonadota; Gammaproteobacteria; Enterobacterales; Enterobacteriaceae
Description: bacterial SSU rRNA
Rfam family: Bacterial small subunit ribosomal RNA
Source: RNAcentral
AAAUUGAAGAGUUUGAUCAUGGCUCAGAUUGAACGCUGGCGGCAGGCCUAACACAUGCAAGUCGAGCGGUAGCACAGAGAGCUUGCUCUCGGGUGACGAGCGGCGGACGGGUGAGUAAUGUCUGGGAAACUGCCUGAUGGAGGGGGAUAACUACUGGAAACGGUAGCUAAUACCGCAUAAUGUCGCAAGACCAAAGUGGGGGACCUUCGGGCCUCAUGCCAUCAGAUGUGCCCAGAUGGGAUUAGCUAGUAGGUGGGGUAACGGCUCACCUAGGCGACGAUCCCUAGCUGGUCUGAGAGGAUGACCAGCCACACUGGAACUGAGACACGGUCCAGACUCCUACGGGAGGCAGCAGUGGGGAAUAUUGCACAAUGGGCGCAAGCCUGAUGCAGCCAUGCCGCGUGUGUGAAGAAGGCCUUCGGGUUGUAAAGCACUUUCAGCGGGGAGGAAGGCGGUGAGGUUAAUAACCUCACCGAUUGACGUUACCCGCAGAAGAAGCACCGGCUAACUCCGUGCCAGCAGCCGCGGUAAUACGGAGGGUGCAAGCGUUAAUCGGAAUUACUGGGCGUAAAGCGCACGCAGGCGGUCUGUCAAGUCGGAUGUGAAAUCCCCGGGCUCAACCUGGGAACUGCAUUCGAAACUGGCAGGCUAGAGUCUUGUAGAGGGGGGUAGAAUUCCAGGUGUAGCGGUGAAAUGCGUAGAGAUCUGGAGGAAUACCGGUGGCGAAGGCGGCCCCCUGGACAAAGACUGACGCUCAGGUGCGAAAGCGUGGGGAGCAAACAGGAUUAGAUACCCUGGUAGUCCACGCCGUAAACGAUGUCGAUUUGGAGGUUGUGCCCUUGAGGCGUGGCUUCCGGAGCUAACGCGUUAAAUCGACCGCCUGGGGAGUACGGCCGCAAGGUUAAAACUCAAAUGAAUUGACGGGGGCCCGCACAAGCGGUGGAGCAUGUGGUUUAAUUCGAUGCAACGCGAAGAACCUUACCUGGUCUUGACAUCCACAGAACUUUCCAGAGAUGGAUUGGUGCCUUCGGGAACUGUGAGACAGGUGCUGCAUGGCUGUCGUCAGCUCGUGUUGUGAAAUGUUGGGUUAAGUCCCGCAACGAGCGCAACCCUUAUCCUUUGUUGCCAGCGGUUCGGCCGGGAACUCAAAGGAGACUGCCAGUGAUAAACUGGAGGAAGGUGGGGAUGACGUCAAGUCAUCAUGGCCCUUACGACCAGGGCUACACACGUGCUACAAUGGCAUAUACAAAGAGAAGCGACCUCGCGAGAGCAAGCGGACCUCAUAAAGUAUGUCGUAGUCCGGAUUGGAGUCUGCAACUCGACUCCAUGAAGUCGGAAUCGCUAGUAAUCGUAGAUCAGAAUGCUACGGUGAAUACGUUCCCGGGCCUUGUACACACCGCCCGUCACACCAUGGGAGUGGGUUGCAAAAGAAGUAGGUAGCUUAACCUUCGGGAGGGCGCUUACCAAUUUGUGAUUCAUGACUGGGGUGAAGUCGUAACAAGGUAACCGUAGGGGAACCUGCGGUUGGAUCACCUCCUUACCUUAAAGAA